GAUCCCCAACGCUCACCAAGGUAAGGGAUAAGUGGCUCUAAUUCAUACUCACUUAUGUGAAUGAGGUAAAUGAAGGAUUUUGAGGAUGAAGCUCAAUUAGGAAGCUUUUGUGUUUAUUUACUCGAUUGUCUUUAUUGCUAUUUGAUAUUGUAGUUGAUUUGAUAGUAUUUUGGGAUAAAUGUAAUCUGAUUAGGAUAAUAUGGUGACAUGCAGUUAUGGACGUUAUAACUCUGGAAAACCCAUAACUGGACGUAUGUGAUAAAGGCUAUCUGAAUGAAU
This is a non-coding RNA of Lupinus albus (white lupine), 279 nucleotides long. NCBI's taxonomy places the organism in Eukaryota, Viridiplantae, Streptophyta, Magnoliopsida, Fabales, Fabaceae. The record is from the annotation of a GenBank genome assembly.